UAAAGUCGACAGUUCUAAUAUAAAAAUGUUAAGAUCUUAAUUAAUUCUGAGUUGUAGAUUAUUUAAUUUUGUCAAUAAUAUCGUGUAGAUUUUAUUCGCUCACAUUCAUAACUAUGCGUGCAUGUGGUAUAACGAUCUGUCAAUUGUUAUUGCUUUUCUCAAAUAACUUUUUAUUUUCUAUCUAUUAACUUCCCAAUUUAGCUGAUUUUAUUUUUUUAUUUUUUAAUAUAUUAAUGCUAGGAAACCUAUUAUAAAUUUUCUACCGGUUUUGCCAUUUUAGGUAAAGUAUGAAGUAUUAAAUAUAUAUAUUAAAACAAUUAGAUCAUAGUAAUCAAAUUAAUUAUUAACAACGAAUCUUAAUAUUAUAUACUCAAAUUGCAUAAUAUUCAUAUUCCUUUAUCUUCAUAAAAAAUUUAAUGAUCAUUUAAAAUUCCACCUAAAAAAUGAUCAUUUAGUAAAUUGUUAGUACAUUGUUAGUAUCUUAAAUAUGACUUAAAAUUUGUUAUUGCUCCAUAUCUUGAUUGCUAUAUUCUGAUUGCUGUGAUACUUUAAAAACAAAAAGUAAAGUUUCCUGGAAAUGUAAAAAUCAAUACGAGCUAAUUUCAGAAAAUCAGUAACAUUUACAAAUUGAUAUAUAUCGUUCACGCAUAGUUAUAGAUUUGAACGCUCAAAAUUCGUAAAUUAUAAUCACUUAUAGUUAAAAAAUACUGUACGCUUGAUAUUUUUCUAUUAAAAUAUUCGCGAUUAUAUAACUGAUUUCCAGAAUAUGUUAUUCUGGAUAUGUUAUUAAAGUAUUGUAUGAUAGUUCUGGCCUUAUAGAAAUAUCAUACUAAGAAUCAUUGAUAAUUACUUAUUAUUCAGUAUUUUUAAUACUGAAAAUAAGUAAUUAUCAAUGAUUCUUAGUAUGAUAUUUCUAUAAGGGUGGACAACUUGUAUAUAAGUUUUAUUAAAAUAUUACUUACAUACUUAAUAAAAUUACAUUUUUUUCAUUACAUUUAGAAAGCAUAGAAUUAGACAGUAUUGCAGUAACAGAACAAGUAGAGCAUAAGUUCGUAGAGAAACAGUAUAACAAAGAUAUCAAUGAUGAUGACCAAUCAGACAGAACUUACGAACCAUCAGAAGGUUCAAUUACGGAUACAGAAUAUGAGAGCAAUGACGAAAUAAACGAAAAUGUACCAAAUGCAUCUAACAGUAGCUUAAAUAUAUCAACUAAAUUUAAUUUGUCGUCAACGGCAAAUGCAACGGGCACGUCAGGAUGUGAUGACGCACUACUUACAAUUGAUAAUUCUUGUAGCGGCACAAAAAAAUAUUAUUGUCUUUAUUGUAAGUUACCAAAAUCGAAAAUUGCAAGACAUUUAGAAAGUGUACACCGUAAUGAAAAAGAUGUCAAGAAAUUCGCUGAAUUACCAAAAGGAUCUUUUGAACGUAAAAAAAUAAUAGAAACAAUACGACGGAAAGGAGAAUUUGAAUUUAAUACAAACAAGAUGUUGAAUAAUGGCAAGUUACAUGUCGUUAGACGACCGAACCAGAAGUGGUUUAUUAAAAAUGCUAAUGAAUAUGGAGUAUGUGUCAAAUGUUACGGAUUUUUUUCAAAAAAUACUUUACGAAAUCAUGUUCGAAAAUGUUUAAAUUUUAAAUAUUCUAAAAAUCGAACAAUAACAGUUUUGGGACGAACUAUUCUUGGAAGAAUUAACGAAGUAGCUUCCAAAACUCUAAAAAAAGUCAUUUUUCCGGUAUUAAGAGAAGAUUCUAUUACGCGUCUUAUCAGAUACGACGAAUUAAUUAUUCGAUAUGGUAACAAACUUUGUAUGAAGUAUAAGCCACAGCACCAGCACGACAUGGUGCGAAAUCGAUUACGAACAGUUGGACGAUUUUUAAAAGCUUUAAAAGAAAUAAAUAACAAAAUUACAGAUUUUGCCUCAUUAUAUGAGCCACAAUAUUACGAAGAUUGUAUUAAAGUAGUAUAUGAAGUAGCUCGAUACAAUCCAGAAACUCAAAAGUUCGGUGCAGCUUCUACAGCGUUUCAAUUAGGUACAUUAUUAAAAGAAGUUGGAGAAUUGUGGAAAUCACAAUGUAUUAAAAAUCAUGAUCCCAUUAAAAAAGCUUUAGUUGAAGAUUUCCUUUCACUUCGUAAAGAAGAUUAUAGUCAUUCAGUUAAUAAAACAGUAAUGGAAACAAGAGCACAUAUUACACGACAAAAAGUGGAAAUAGCUCCAAGUAUAAACGAUAUAAGGAAGCUUUAUGAUUAUGUAAACAAUAAGAGACGUGAAGCAUAUAAUCUUUUAAAGAAAGAAUUUUCUUACAAUGUAUGGCAAUCUCUGGGUGAAUGCACAUUAAUUUCUAUGCAAAUAUAUAAUAGAAAACGUGCAGGUGAAAUGCAACGAAUAUUAUUGGAAGAUUUUUAUACUUAUGAAGGUUUAAAUGAACAAAGUGAUCCAGAUCUUUUUAAAUCUCUUUCGAAUCCAGCAAAAGAAAUCGCACGUAAAUAUAUACGAUUUCAAAUAAGAGGAAAAUUAGGUCGUCCUGUUCCUGUUUUAUUAAAUUUUGACUUUUAAAUUGUGUAAAAUUAUUUAUACAGUGCCGAAACAAUGCUAAUGUACACCAAAAAAUCCAUAUGUUUUUGGUAUAGAAGGAUUUCACAAACAAAGAUUUAAAUACCUAAGAGCAUGUGACAAUAUGAGAAAAUUUGCUCACGAAUGUGGAGCAACUCAUCCUGAAAGAUUAAGAGGCACUCUUCUUAGAAAACAUAUCGCAACUAAUUGCCAUAAAUUAAAAUUAACAGAACAUGAAGUAUCCGAAUUAGCAAACUUUAUGGGUCACAAAGAAAACAUACAUAAACAAUACUACAGGUUACCUCAGAAAGAGAAUGAUAUUCUUAAUAUUAGUAAAUAUCUGGAAGCUGCACUUGGUACAUGUGACAAUUCUGAAGACGAUACUAAUAGUGACGAUGAUGACGAUACUAAUACUGAUAAUAUUGAAUUGUAUAGCAUUAUUGCUGAUGAUCUUAGUAAUAGUAAUACUACUAAUAAUAACAGUAAUACUACUAUUAAUAACAGUAAUACUACUAUUAAUAACAAUAUUACGCAAGGUAUAAAAUAGUAAUCUCACAACUUCAUUGUUCUUAAAUUUUAAGGAUAUAAACUAAAAGGCAAACUCAUGUAUAAUCAAAAAUAUAAAAUUAUUUACAGAAUCUGACAGCAUUUGCGCCGCAAAAAAAAGAAAAACUACCACAAAAAAUAAAAACAAAUUAUGUAACAAAGAUAAAGUAAAGACGAAGUACAAACAUACGCGUUGGACUGAUGAGGAAAAAAAUAUAGUGCUGAACAAAUUUAGCACUUAUUUAAAUACGUAUAAAUAUCCUUUGAAUAAAGAGAUUACAGCUUUAAUAGGAGAUAAUUCUUGUUUGCAAACACGAACUGUACGCCAAGUAAAGACCUGGCUCAAUAAUCAGCAAAAGAUUUUACGUAAUAAUAUUUAAAUGUUAUGCUAUGCUUUAUUUUUUAUUUUAUUUCAUUAUAAGCUUUUACAUUUUUGUUAUUUCAUCAAAUAUUUGCAAAGUGUACAAAAUUUUUUUAAGAUGCUAAGCUGUUGUUUAAAACAUUGUACACUUACAUAUUAGUACAAUAGUAUAAGUAUAUUUUUUUAGUAUUAGUUGAAAUUACUUAAAAAAGAAAAUAUUUUGUUACUUUCGUUCAUAUAAUUUAUAUAAUUGAAGAAAAAUAUUUUAUCAUUUUUAUUUAUAUAUUUUGUAUAUGUAUAUACUAUGUUUAAUUGAAGGAACGUUUUGUUUGUACUUAUGUUAUAAAUAUAACAUAACUUGUUAACUAUGAAAUAAAAGAAAAAUAUACGUAUUGUGAAAAUAUAAUGUUGCUUUAUUAUAAUACAUAAUUGUGAUCAUUAUAACAUAUGAAUAUUAUAACUAGGAUUCGUAUAUUAAAGGAUUCUUCACUAUAGCAGAUUUAUGUAUUGAAGGGUUCCUCACUAUAACAGUAUUGAAGGGUUCCUCAUUAUAGCCGAUUCUUAUUAGCGGUUAAGCACAAAAAAAUAUAAGCAUCUUUAAAAAUUGAAGUUAGUAAGCGCUAGU
Molecule: RNA transcript, 4084 nt
Organism: Odontomachus brunneus
Lineage: Eukaryota; Metazoa; Arthropoda; Insecta; Hymenoptera; Formicidae
Exons: 3
Source: RefSeq, a predicted model, not a curated record